ACAGCAGUAGCCGCGGUAAAACGAAGGGUGCAAGCGUUAAUCGGAAUUACUGGGCGUAAAGCGUGCGUAGGCGGUGAGUUAAGUCUGCUGUGAAAUCCCCGGGCUCAACCUGGGAAUGGCAGUGGAUACUGGCUCGCUAGAGUGUGUCAGAGGAUGGUGGAAUUCCCGGUGUAGCGGUGAAAUGCGUAGAGAUCUGGAGGAACAUCAGUGGCGAAGGCGGCCAUCUGGGACAACACUGACGCUGAGGCACGAAAGCGUGGGGAGCAAACAGGAUUAGAUACCCCGGUAGUCCCUGUCUCUUAUAC
RNAcentral lists this ribosomal RNA (305 nucleotides) under uncultured bacterium. RNAcentral describes it as "partial 16S ribosomal RNA". It matches the Rfam family "Bacterial small subunit ribosomal RNA", at positions 508 to 807 of the family's 1533-position model. The record is from RNAcentral.